Long non-coding RNA from Saccostrea echinata, 290 nucleotides. RefSeq lists it as uncharacterized. The transcript is spliced from 3 exons. Lineage: Eukaryota; Metazoa; Mollusca; Bivalvia; Ostreida; Ostreidae. The record is from RefSeq and is a predicted model, not a curated record.
UGCAGACAACUACUGAAAUUUUAAUAGAUCCUAGCGUUAUUAUUUUGUAUGUUGAGAUAGAUUUGAACGAAAUCUGGAAUGCAGAUUUGUCAAACAGCAGUUCCGUGGCUUUUAAAAAUAAAUCUGCCAAAAUUGAGUUAGAGAUUAACAAUAGCCUUGGCAGUGGGAGCAAUGUGUCUAUCUACUACAACUCCAGUAAAGUCAUAUCUUACAGUAAUGGAAGCAUUCACGUCCUGUGUGAGGUAUAUUAUUCCAUAUCCCAUGUCCACGUGACAGGAAGUAACAACAAC